UCCUACGGGGAGGCAGCAGUGGGGAAUAUUGCACAAUGGGCGCAAGCCUGAUGCAGCGACGCCGCGUGAGGGAUGACGGCCUUCGGGUUGUAAACCUCUUUCAGUAGGGAAGAAGCGAAAGUGACGGUACCUGCAGAAGAAGCGCCGGCUAACUACGUGCCAGCAGCCGCGGUAAUACGUAGGGCGCAAGCGUUAUCCGGAAUUAUUGGGCGUAAAGAGCUCGUAGGCGGUUUGUCGCGUCUGCCGUGAAAGUCCGGGGCUCAACUCCGGAUCUGCGGUGGGUACGGGCAGACUAGAGUGAUGUAGGGGAGACUGGAAUUCCUGGUGUAGCGGUGAAAUGCGCAGAUAUCAGGAGGAACACCGAUGGCGAAGGCAGGUCUCUGGGCAUUAACUGACGCUGAGGAGCGAAAGCAUGGGGAGCGAACAGGAUUAGAUACCCUGGUAGUCCAUGCCGUAAACGUUGGGCACUAGGUGUGGGGGACAUUCCACGUUUUCCGCGCCGUAGCUAACGCAUUAAGUGCCCCGCCUGGGGAGUACGGCCGCAAGGCUAAAACUCAAAGGAAUUGACGGCGGGCGGGGGCGGCGG
Molecule: ribosomal RNA, 586 nt
Filed under: bacterium KU12
Lineage: Bacteria
Description: bacterial SSU rRNA
Rfam family: Bacterial small subunit ribosomal RNA
Source: RNAcentral